This is a non-coding RNA of Cynoglossus semilaevis (tongue sole), 73 nucleotides long. The record is from Ensembl. Lineage: Eukaryota; Metazoa; Chordata; Actinopteri; Pleuronectiformes; Cynoglossidae.
CAAGGUAUAGCUAAAUAUAACAAAGCAUCUCCCUUACACCGAGAAGUUAUCCGUGUAAACCGGAUUACCUUGA